CGCCUGUUUAUCAAAAACAUGUCUUUUUGAAAAUAAUUUAAAGUCUGGUCUGCCCACUGAUUAUAAAUAAUUAAAGGGCUGCAGUAUAUUGACUGUACAAAGGUAGCAUAAUCAUUAGUCUUUUAAUUGAUGACUUGUAUGAAUGAUCGGAUAAAAUAUAAACUGUCUCUUAAUAAAUUUAUAGAAUUUAAUUUUUUAUUUAAAAAGUUAAAAUAAUUUUAAAAGACGAGAAGACCCUAUAGAGUUUAAUAAUUUUGUAAAUUAAAAUUAUAUGUAUAAAUUUAAUUAAAAAUUAUAGAUUUAUUUUGUUGGGGUGAUAAAAAAAUUAAUUAAACUUUUUUUAAAAUUUAACAUAAAUAAUUGAAUAUUUGAUCCAAUUUUUUUGAUUAUAAGAAUAAAUUACCUUAGGGAUAACAGCGUAAUUUUUUUUUUUAGUUCUUAUAAAAAAAAAAGUUUGCGACCUCGAUGUUGGAUUAAGAUAAAAUUUAAAUGCAAAAGUUUAAAUUUUGAUCUGUUCGAUCAUUAAAAUCUUACAUGAUCUGAGUUCAAACCGGAG
RNAcentral lists this ribosomal RNA (556 nucleotides) under Yponomeuta sociatus. RNAcentral describes it as "partial 16S ribosomal RNA". The stretch from base 410 to 556 matches the Rfam family "Archaeal large subunit ribosomal RNA", at positions 2542 to 2690 of the family's 2987-position model. Lineage: Eukaryota; Metazoa; Arthropoda; Insecta; Lepidoptera; Yponomeutidae. The record is from RNAcentral.